AAAACACAGCACUCUGCAAACACGAAAGUGGACGUAUAGGGUGUGACGCCUGCCCGGUGCUGGAAGGUUAAUUGAUGGGGUCAGCCGCAAGGCGAAGCUCUUGAUCGAAGCCCCAGUAAACGGCGGCCGUAACUAUAACGGUCCUAAGGUAGCGAAAUUCCUUGUCGGGUAAGUUCCGACCUGCACGAAUGGCGUAACGACAGCGGCGCUGUCUCCACCCGAGACUCAGUGAAAUUGAAAUCGCUGUGAAGAUGCAGCGUUCCCGUGGCAAGACGGAAAGACCCCGUGAACCUUUACUAUAGCUUUACACUGAACGUUGAGUUCGUCUGUGUAGGAUAGGUGGGAGGCUAUGAAACCAUGGCGCUAGCUGUGGCGGAGCCAUCCUUGAAAUACCACCCUGUCGUGCUUGACGUUCUAACCUGGGCCCAUUAUCUGGGUCGGGGACCGUGUAUGGUGGGUAGUUUGACUGGGGCGGUCUCCUCCUAAAGAGUAACGGAGGAGCUCGAAGGUACGCUCAGCGCGGUCGGACAUCGCGCACUGUGUGCAAAGGCAUAAGCGUGCUUGACUGCAAGAUCGACGGAUCAAGCAGGUAGGAAACUAGGACUUAGUGAUCCGGUGGUUCUGUAUGGAAGGGCCAUCGCUCAACGGAUAAAAGGUACUCCGGGGAUAACAGGCUGAUACCGCCCAAGAGUUCAUAUCGACGGCGGUGUUUGGCACCUCGAUGUCGGCUCAUCACAUCCUGGGGCUGUAGUCGGUCCCAAGGGUAUGGCUGUUCGCCAUUUAAAGUGGUACGCGAGCUGGGUUCAGAACGUCGUGAGACAGUUCGGUCCCUAUCUGCCAUGGGCGUUGGAGAUUUGAGAGGGGCUGCUCCUAGUACGAGAGGACCGGAGUGGACGAACCUCUGGUGUUCCGGUUGUCACGCCAGUGGCAUUGCCGGGUAGCUAUGUUCGGAAGCGAUAACCGCUGAAAGCAUCUAAGCGGGAAGCGCGCCUCAAGAUGAGAUCUCCCGGGGCACAAGCCCC
RNAcentral lists this ribosomal RNA (1022 nucleotides) under Stenotrophomonas maltophilia. RNAcentral's name for it is "bacterial LSU rRNA". It matches the Rfam family "Bacterial large subunit ribosomal RNA", at positions 1810 to 2828 of the family's 2925-position model. Lineage: Bacteria; Pseudomonadati; Pseudomonadota; Gammaproteobacteria; Lysobacterales; Lysobacteraceae. The record is from RNAcentral.